GAUGAACGCUGGCGGCGUGCCUAAUACAUGCAAGUCGAGCGAACGGACGAGAAGCUUGCUUUUCUGAUGUUAGCGGCGGACGGGUGAGUAACACGUGGAUAACCUACCUAUAAGACUGGGAUAACUUCGGGAAACCGGAGCUAAUACCGGAUAAUAUUUUGAACCGCAUGGUUCAAAAGUGAAAGACGGUCUUGCUGUCACUUAUAGAUGGAUCCGCGCUGCAUUAGCUAGUUGGUAAGGUAACGGCUUACCAAGGCAACGAUGCAUAGCCGACCUGAGAGAGUGAUAGGACACACCGGAACUGAGACACGGUCCAGACUCCUACGGUAGGCAACAGUAGUGAAUCUUCCGCAAUGGGCGAAAGCCAGACGGAGCAACGCCGCGUGAGUGAUGAAGGUCUUCGGAUCGUAAAACUCUGUUAUUAGGGAAGAACAUAUGUGUAAGUAACUGUGCACAUCUUGACGGUACCUAAUCAGAAAGCCACGGCUAACUACGUG
RNAcentral lists this ribosomal RNA (497 nucleotides) under uncultured bacterium. Its description in RNAcentral is "partial 16S ribosomal RNA". It matches the Rfam family "Bacterial small subunit ribosomal RNA", at positions 28 to 507 of the family's 1533-position model. The record is from RNAcentral.